Cyanistes caeruleus (blue tit) is the source of this 744-nucleotide non-coding RNA. The record is from RefSeq and is a predicted model, not a curated record. NCBI's taxonomy places the organism in Eukaryota, Metazoa, Chordata, Aves, Passeriformes, Paridae.
UUUCCCUCUCCCCUCAGCUCUGUUUUCUGAUUAAAGCCCAUUAACUGCUCUUUAGCUCUCUUGUAGGUUCUUGCCGUGCUUGAGCAUGAAAAGCCAUCUGCAUUGUCAGGCACAGGGAUCUCCCCCAGUUUUUGGAUCAGGCUGAGCUGCCACCCUGAGCUCUCCCAGAGCUCUUUGGGCUUUGAAUACACAAAGUUUUGUGGCCUUUCAGAUCGUGGACACCUUCCUCAUCGGCCGUUUCAUCCUCCUGGCUGUGAUGAGCCUGGUCUUCCUUGGCUGCCUGUUCCUGUUCCUGAUUUUCCACCUCAUGGAGCCCGUGUUCGCCAAGCCACUCCACAGCAGCUAGAGACAGCAGUCUCUGCAAAGAGGAAAUCCUGAUUUCAUGGCAAUAAACCAGGAAGAGACACCAGCUGGAGGUCACCAUGAUGUUCUUUCUGAGCUCAGAAAGAGCCAGGGAAGCAAGUGAAGGCUUUGCUUCAUCUUAAAAAGCAAAGUUUGGUCUGAGCAAGAUCCUCUUCCUCCCCAGGGGGUUGAAACCUCUGCACCUGCAAAGGUGUGUGAACCUCUGAAUCCUGCUCUCAUUUACAGGAGAGCUGAGAUCCAGGCACUUGGUGCUGCUCCUCAUCCAGUGCAUUGAACUGAGAUGGUGUGUUAUUGUUAUUCACAAGAGAUGGUUUGUUACUGUUCCUUUUUCACUAUAAAACUCUUUUUUCAUUUUAAUAAAACUCUUUGAGAAAUCCCUGA